UAUUUUUUGGAAAUAUGUAACUGGUCUUCCAAUUCAGCAUGGGAUUCAAGCAAAAGCAAGUCUCCAAACAAAUAUGAUACUCGAGUAUAUUUUUUAUAUAACAUAUUUUUAUGGAAAUGUUUUUUUAGCUUAAGCAUGUCAGCUAAAAGUGUAAAUGCAACAUUACACAAAACAAAAGUUGUGCUACCCUAACCGCGUGUAUGUAUCAACGUUUACGUUAUAUAUCGUCUUUUUGCAGUCACUUGCAUACAAACUUGGUGAUUGCGAAUUUAGCUACUUGUUAAUUCCAGGUUGGUUCCGUCUUUAUUCUUAAGACAAAAGUCGGGCAGCAUCUGGCACUCGUUGUUGUUACCAUGGCAACGAAAUCGUCGGUCUGCAUAUGCCAAGAGACAAAUGAUUUCCUCUCUUUGUCCGAUUCAUCUCGCAUUCAUUGUUGUCUUGCCCUCUCCUUGGGAAGGGAAAGCUGGGAGAGGGCUAAAUCUGAUAAAUUUUACAUACAUUAAUUUGUAAAUUUUUAUAAGCUGAAAAUUAUAAAUAUCUAACCUACUUUUUGUCGGGGCACGCGAGUGUUAUUUAAUUUAAUAAACAAUCUGGAAAUCUCUUCAAAAUCAUACGGAGGGAGGACAUGCAUUUAUUUGCAACUUCUCAAUUGAUGUUCACAGAUGGUCAAGAUUCGUUGGAGUGCUACCUACAUAAUUUUAUGCUAAUCCGAUCUAACGACUUGGACUGGAGAAUAUGUACAUCCAUAAGCAAAUUUACCCGAAAAAUUUCCAAAAUCUCAGAGAGAUGAACUAUGUACAUCCAUAGAGGUAAGUUUAUCAUUAACUUUAAGUCGACGCUUUCAAUUACGUUACGCUUUAAGGGGUUGAGGGGGUUUAAAAAGUGCAUCAUGAACCGUUUCGGAUGGGGGAGGGGGGUUUCGUAUUAC
Folsomia candida is the source of this 928-nucleotide long non-coding RNA. RefSeq lists it as uncharacterized. Lineage: Eukaryota; Metazoa; Arthropoda; Collembola; Entomobryomorpha; Isotomidae. The transcript has 3 exons. The record is from RefSeq and is a predicted model, not a curated record.